UACGUAGGGGGCAAGCGUUAUCCGGAAUCACUGGGUGUAAAGGGAGCGUAGACGGCUGUGCAAGCCUGAAGUGAAAGGCGGGGGCCCAACCCCCGGACUGCUUUGGGAACUGUACGGCUGGAGUGCAGGAGAGGUAAGUGGAAUUCCUAGUGUAGCGGUGAAAUGCGUAGAUAUUAGGAGGAACACCAGUGGCGAAGGCGGCUUACUGGACUGUAACUGACGUUGAGGCUCGAAAGCGUGGGGAGCAAAUAGG
RNAcentral lists this ribosomal RNA (253 nucleotides) under uncultured bacterium. Its description in RNAcentral is "partial 16S ribosomal RNA". It matches the Rfam family "Bacterial small subunit ribosomal RNA", at positions 524 to 776 of the family's 1533-position model. The record is from RNAcentral.